GGCGAGGUGGCCAAGUGGUUAAGGUGAUGGACUACUAAUCCAUUGUGCGCUGCACGUGUGGGUUUGGAUCCCAUUCUCGUCG
Trichomycterus rosablanca is the source of this 82-nucleotide non-coding RNA. The record is from the annotation of a RefSeq genome assembly. NCBI's taxonomy places the organism in Eukaryota, Metazoa, Chordata, Actinopteri, Siluriformes, Trichomycteridae.